UACUGCAAGAGGAAGUGCUUUGAAGAACAGAAAGGCACGAUUGGACCUAAAACUCUAAGACGAGCUGGAAGACACGGAAAGCACGUAGGAGAGACACCGGUUUCAUUGCAGUUGGUUUCAAUAUCAAACGGUAUUGACUUGUGGUAAGCCCAGUCAUCUUUCUCUGGACGGAGAUUAGAAGUCUGCUGCCAGGCAUCUGGGGUGCCAGACCUGGGCUCCCUCUAGUUUCUUCAAUUGCAAUGGUCAUAUUUAUUUUCCUUGGAUGCUGAAAAUGUUUAAGAGACUCACCUGCCUCUUACACCAAAUUGUAACUCAACUUAUCUGAAUAAUUGGUGACUUCACAUUUGUCAUUAAAUGCUUUCUUAACUUCUCUUACCCUUCUCAUUUAUCCCUAUUUGUUAAGAUCAUCUUGCAGCACUAACACUUAGGAGUCCCAUUAGUUCUUUUCCUUCAUGCCCUGUGCUUUAGGACCAAUCCAGCCAAUCACAGAUCCCACCUCCUGUUAUUUUAAUUUGCAAUUUAAAAAAUUCUGAGUAAAACUGAGAAUCUAAAUAUAUUUAUUGGCCAUUUGUAUCUACUUCUUUGUAAAUUGCUAGUUUUCUUUUUUAUUGAUUUGUUUGAGCUUUUAUUAGUUAAAAUAAUAGAACUUUGUGAAAAGAUGAAUUAUUUUUUCCCUGGAUUGACUCUCCUUAGACUUCUAAACAUUACAGUGUGUACUUGUUAUCCAGAAUAUUUUUAGUCACAUAUAUCUAACAUUUUCUAGUAUGUGAAUUUUGUGUUUAUUAGGAAGAUCUACUCACAGCUCUCACUGUCUUUUUAUGCCUACGGUGUUCACUUCACUUCAAGCCCAUGCCACUGUAUGCCUAUAUAACUACUCAUUUCUGGAAUGGCCCUGCAAACUCGUAUCUCUUCUCCUCUUUGCGCAUGGUUGCCAGUCCAAACUGCCUUAAGACAAACAAACAAACAAACAAAAAUCCAACUAAUGAUUUAAUGCAUUCAGGUUUCAAAGCAUGUUCUUCCAUUAUUUUUAUAAUGCAGCUUUUCCUACCUGAAUGUAUACUCAAGAGAUUCAGAAUGUCCCAAGUGGAGGAGGUUUCUUUGGGAAGCCAAAGGUAGUGUAUGGACUGUAACUGGGGGCCUGUGAUUGAAUUGCCUCUUUCAGUUCCACCAUAUGGCCACCACCAUCUCAUAAUUUCCCUUCUCAGAAAAGGUACAGCUUCAUUAGGAUGGCAAUAUAUACAUAAGGUGUCAUUAAAGAGCCUAUACAAGUCACAGCUAAAAAUAUGUAUGAGAAAAAAUAAAGUUCAAAAUGAUUGCCCAACAAGCAUGAACUGUUCAAAUAAGUUAUAUUGCAUCACUGAAUCAUAUGUGUUAUGCUUUCAAAGAUAAUGUAUUGCCAUAAAGAAAUGCUCAUGACACAAUGUCUCAAAAAUGAUAUAAUUGUAGUAGUCAUAUUAGUUCUGAGCCUUCAUUGAAUGCUAUUUACCUAAUUUCCUUUUUUAAAUGUUCACUGCAAAAGCAAGAUAUAAAACUGUUCAAACUGGGAAUUUUUUGACUUGUCUGCAUUUUUUCUAAGUUUAGUAAAUGAGCCCUAUAUUAGUUUAUUAGUCAGAAAAUAUUAUUUCAAGAAGCUAAAUAUUAAUUCAAGUCCAAACACAAUGAGGCAUUUCAUUUAUAUCUUGUCAUAGAAAUCUCUUAAGUGCCCUUAAAGGAUCAUUAAACACACCUUUUAUUAUUGUUUGUACACUUCACUGGAAUAUACAUACCCCUUACUGAAAUGUAAGUUUCUUGGGGGAAGAGCCAUGUUUAUGUUUUAAUACGCUGCUCGACACAAUAGGCCUUCACAGAACAUCCAUCGACACAAAUUAUCUCUGUUCAUCCGGAUAGGAAAAGCCUGUUUUCCAAAUUUUCUACAAUCACAUAGGGAGCAAGAAAAAAACAUUUUAAAAGUAAUUUUGCUUGUUUCUAGUGAAAAAUAUCAAGAGGAAAACAGUCAAAUAAGCAAAAUGUGCCCAGAAACUGAGUCCUCUUAUUAACAAUGUGGAUAUUAAUUUAUAGUAUAAAAUAAUACAUAUGCAUAACUUAAAAACUCAGAAUAUCCAAAGUAAAAAGUAACAUCCUUUUUUUAUAACAACCCCCACCAAACUCUAAAUGCAACUAGCAUACAUAAUUUCUUAUGAUUUAUUCCAGAGGCCCU
Molecule: long non-coding RNA, 2197 nt
Filed under: Homo sapiens (human)
Lineage: Eukaryota; Metazoa; Chordata; Mammalia; Primates; Hominidae
Description: HSALNT0225234
Source: RNAcentral